Molecule: ribosomal RNA, 494 nt
Filed under: uncultured bacterium
Lineage: Bacteria
Description: partial 16S ribosomal RNA
Rfam family: Bacterial small subunit ribosomal RNA
Source: RNAcentral
GACGAACGCUGGCGGCGUGCUUAACACAUGCAAGUCGAACGGAAAGGCCUGCUUUCCCUUGUGGAUUGCGGGUACUCGAGUGGCGAACGGGUGAGUAACACGUGAGUGAUCUGCCCCCAACUUGGGUAUAAGCCUGGGAAACUGGGUCUAAUUCCCGAUAGGACUGCAGGGUGGUGCCUGUGGUGGAAAACGAUUUUCUAGUGGUUGGGGUUGAGCUCGCGGCCUAUCAGCUGGUUGGUGGGGUAAUGGCCUACCAAGGCGGCGACGGGUAGCCGGCCUGAGAGGGUGGACGGCCACAUUGGGACUGAGAUACGGCCCAGACUCCUACGGGAGGCAGCAGUGGGGAAUAUUGCACAAUGGGCGGAAGCCUGAUGCAGCGACGCCGCGUGGGGGAUGACGGCCUUCGGGUUGUAAACUCCUUUCGACCGCGAGGAAGCCACCUGGUUGGAAGGGUGGUGACGGUAGUGGUAGAAGAAGCACCGGCUAACUACGUG